AAAAAAAAGAGGAUCCUGUGGCAUAACACGUUUGUGUUUUGUUAUCAGGUACCCAGGGUAAAGAGGGCUCCAGCCCCACGUUAAUAAGUGACUUAAUAAUCUGUCCAGCGAUGGGUUUAUAAAGGGCAGAGCAGAGGCACACCUCAAUUCAAGCUGUAGGCUCCUCUCUCUGCAUCUCAAGGCUCUCUGAGACAUCCGGGCGAAGCUGAAAAUGAAACCACUGAGUGUUUGUCUCGUGUUGACCUCUUGCAUCCUCUGGGGCUCACUGAGUGUGGAGAUUAGGGAUGGAGAAAGGAGCUAUCCCCUAGAGGCUGUGAAAGCGUUGAAGGAGCUGAUCGACACAGAUGCCAUGGUUAACCUGCGGUUGAUCAACACCAACAUGGUCUCUGUCUGUAACAACCCUGUCUUGCCACAGGCCUUCUAUCCAGUGUGCCAGGGCAAAGAGGCAGCUAUGGUCUUCUCCAGGCUAGGUAAGGCUGUACCAUAAACAAACAGUGGGUGGACUGAAAUAUUGUAAUUCAAUAUCGUUAUAUGACUUUAAAAAUGGUUUGUCUUAUUGCCCCAUCCACCUUAUCUGUUGUAAAAAUGUAUAAACUGCACAUUUUAGCAUUCAAACACAAGACUGUUUAGAUCCUGCGGACUUGAAUAUGUUCCGCGGACUUGAAUAUGUUCCGGUCAGCCUCAGAGAACAACACCGACCUAUACGCUGACUUGGUGAGUGCGUUUAUAAAGAAGUGCAUUGGAGAUGUUGUACCCACUGUGACUAUUAAAACCUACCCUAACCAGAAACCUUGGAUGGAUGGCGGCAUUUGCGCAAAACUGAAAACGCGAUCCAUCGCAUUUAACCAUGGAAAGAGGUCUGGGAAUAUGACUGAAUAUAAACAGUGUAGUUAUUCCCUCCGCAGAGCAAUCAAACAAGCAAACUGCCAGUACAGGGACAAGGUGGAGUCGCAAUUCAACGGCUCAGACACGAGACGUAUGUGGCAGGGUCUACAGGAAAUCAUGGACCACAAAAAAAAAAAAACAGCCACGUCACGGACACCAACGUCACACUUCCAGACAAACUAAACAUUAUCCCGCUUGUGGAUAAUACAGUGCCACCGUCGCGGCCCGCUAAUAAGGACUGCGCCCCCCCCUCUCCUUCUCUGUGGCUGAUGUGAGCAAAACAUUUAAACGUGUUAACCCUCGCAAGGCUGCUGGCCCAGACAGCAUCCCUAGCUGUGUCCUCUGAGCAUGCGCAGACUGGUGUGUUUACGGACAUAUUCAAUCGCUCUCUAUUCCAGUCUGUUGUCCCCACAUCCAGUCCCGCUCCAAGGCCGGAGCCUUCCUCUGCGCCGGUGCCCAGUCCAGGCACGGCAUCCAGUACCGCUCCAAGGCCGGAGCCUUCCUCUGCGCCGGUGCCCAGUCCAGGCACGGCGUUCAGCCCGGCUGGGUCUGGGCGGGGGCUACGACCUGCACCGGAGCCGCCACCAACACUAGUCACCCCCCCCAGUUGGUUUCAGGUUUUGCGGCCGGAGUCCGCACCUUUGGGAGGGGGGUACUGUCACGUCCUGACCAUAGAGAGCCCUUGGUUCUCUAUGGUGUAGUAGGUCAGGGCGUGACUAGGGGGUGUUCUAGUUCAAUAUUUCUAUGUUGGUGUUUUGUAUGGUUCCCAAUUAGAGGCAGCUGGUAAUCGUUGCCUCUAAUUGGGGAUCAUAUUUAAGUAGCCAUUUUUCCCACCUGUGUUUGUGGGAUAUUGUUUGUGUUGGUGCUUGUGUCACCACGUAGUCACGUUAUAUUGCUAGUUUAUUGUUUUGGUUAAAGAAGUUUCACUUUAAAUAAAUAUGUGGAACUCAACAAACGCUGCGCCUUGGUCCGUCUCUUACAACAACUGUGACACUGACCAAACCCUCCUAACCUGGACGAAGCUGGGUGAAUUGUGCACCGCCCUAUGGGACUCCUGGUCACGGCCGGUUGUGACACAGACUGGGAUUGAACUCCGAUCAGUAGUGACGCCUCAAGCACAACUAUGCAGUGCCUUAGACCGCUGCGCCACUCGGGAGGCCCCAUUUCAUAUAUUUUUUUUUUUUCCUGGCGGGGGGGCACCAUGGGAUUUAUUUAAGACACUCUUUAUAGAAGUAGUAGUAAUUCACUAUUUUACAACUUGUUGGAUGGUUGCUCAUCCUGAAAGUAGUCUAUGGGCCAGGAGAAACUGUAAUCCAUGGUUCAGUUUUCUUUAAACAGCCAUUACAAACUUUCACCACUAGCUAAGAAUCAAUGUAGGUGAAAUCAAUGUAAUUUGGCCAUAAAAAAAACAUGUUCACAUGUCCCCAUCAAUUCCAUUGAGUUUUAGCUAGCGGUGGCUAAAGUUAGCUGAAGCUUGUAAUAGCUGUUUAAAGGAAUCUGAACCAUGGAUUACAGUUUUUCCUGGCCCAUAGUCUACUUUCAGGGUCAUCUAAAAUCAAGUUGUAAAAUAGUGAACUACUCUUUAAAGACCCCACAACCUCCCUAUGGGGCCUGUUCUGAACUGAAUUUAUGUUGUGUACUCAGGGAAGGGUGUAUGCAGAUUGAAAGGCGUUUGAAGUCAAUGAUAAUGGAAACCUAAUCCAUCCUCAAGGGAUUGACUCUGAAGGGUUCAGCAUACAUUGGUAGUCAUUAGCACAUUGAGUGGUUUCAGUGAAACACUGAUUACUAUCUGCCUUGUUAUCAGCUGACAUGACCUCUAACCACCAAUACCAGCAGCCAAAGUGCUCUGUAACCUGACAGGAUUUACUGAGUUUUAGAGACAAUACAACCAUCCCAUAUCAUUCAUCAUUUUUAUACGAUCAACAACAUGACUACUUGAGCAAAGCUGUGAGAUCAGAGAGCCAGAUCACAGAUGUGACAGUACUGACAUAUUUCCUAUUUUAUUCCACAUGAGCACACAUGGAAAACCCAGGAAAGCAAUUCUCGGAGACUGAGGAACGCGUUUUCAUAGCACCUCUUGUUAGCUCUACCAGAGAGCUGGACCACAUACACAGGAUGUAGCAGUAGACGGCUUGCUACAACAAGCAGGAGAUGUUGGCCUGGACACAGCCAGUCCUGCUGCCAAAAGAGAAUGAUUCCUGCGUAUAAUAUAUCCUUCCACUUAACGACAUGAUUUAUGUGUGUUGCUCACGAGUGAUUCUACUCACAAGAGCCCAAUUAAAACGGAACAAACAGCAUUUGAGUGCAAUAAAAUGUGCAAGACAAAGAGCACUCCCAUGCCUCUCUAUUGCUCUGCAAGCCCUUUAACGAGGCUGAUUAACUUCCUCCCGUUGUCAAUAUUAGCAUUGUAUCUGACACUACAGCAGCCAUAGGCAUAUAUUAACCUUCUGUGUUUGUUGUCUCUCUCCAGUGGAUGCCAUCAAGUCUCCAGAUCUGUGUGAGAUCUGUGCCCACCCCGCGUGCUUUGGAUGUCUACCGUAAGACUGCCACCAUCUGUUACACAAUCCUCUGAAGCUUUCCUAUCUACAACACACAUCUUCACCUUCAGAUCUGCAUCGCAUAUGAAGCCAGGGCAUGAAUAAGCCCAUCCUAUCCAUGUGCCAGUGGCCAUUCAUCGACAAAUUGCAUACAGUUGAGGAAUGUUAUGUGUUUGAUGUUGUUUGAGCUGUACGGCCAAAAUCAAUUUACUUAUAAUUCAGCAAAAGGCUUUAAAUGAACAGUAAUGUCCAGAUGUUCUUGACGUUUCCAUGGAUUACCAUGGAAUAUGUGAUAAAUUCACUGUAGAAACUGUGAAUCAUAAAUUUCUAUUGCUAAUCAAAUUGUGUCUAAUCUGUUGUCCCAUUUCUUCCACCAGACUGAAUGUGUUUAUACUCUGCCACAUUUACUGUAAAUGGACUGAUUCUGUAAAUAUUUCGAAAUAUAUCUACUUUACUGACACUGUUCAUUUGUUUCAAUAUGGAUUGAUAGUGAAACAGCUAAAAUUAUUCAUACACUAUAUAUACAAAAGUAUGUGGACAUCUCUUCAAAUUAGUGGAUUCGGCUAUUUCAGCCACACCCGUUGCUGACAGGUGUAUAAAAUCAAGCACACAGCCAUGCAAUCUCCGUAGACAAACAUUGGCAGUAGAAUGGCUUUACUGAAGAGCUCAGUGAGUGUCAAAGUGGUACCAUCAUAGGAUGCCACCUUUCCCACCAGUCAGUUCGUCAAAUUUCUGCCCUGCUAGAGUUUAGGGAAGGCCCUUUCCUGUUUCAGCAUGACGAUGCCCCC
Molecule: long non-coding RNA, 4210 nt
Filed under: Salmo salar (Atlantic salmon)
Lineage: Eukaryota; Metazoa; Chordata; Actinopteri; Salmoniformes; Salmonidae
Description: lncRNA (ENSSSAG00000092769.1)
Source: RNAcentral